RNAcentral lists this ribosomal RNA (215 nucleotides) under uncultured bacterium. RNAcentral describes it as "partial 16S ribosomal RNA". It matches the Rfam family "Bacterial small subunit ribosomal RNA", at positions 1285 to 1500 of the family's 1533-position model. The record is from RNAcentral.
GUCCCAUUCGGAUUGCAGGCUGCAACCCGCCUGCAUGAAGUUGGAAUCGCUAGUAAUCGCGGAUCAGCAUGCCGCGGUGAAUACGUUCCCGGGCCUUGUACACACCGCCCGUCACACCAUGAGAGUCGGGAACACCCGAAGUCCGUAGCCUAACCGCAAGGGGGGCGCGGCCGAAGGUGGGUUCGAUAAUUGGGGUGAAGUCGUAACAAGGUACC